This 97-nucleotide signal recognition particle RNA is filed under the name Propionibacteriaceae bacterium. RNAcentral's name for it is "signal recognition particle sRNA small type". It matches the Rfam family "Bacterial small signal recognition particle RNA". From Rfam's summary of the family: The signal recognition particle (SRP) is a universally conserved ribonucleoprotein involved in the co-translational targeting of proteins to membranes. Archaeal SRP consists of a 7S RNA and homologues of the eukaryotic SRP19 and SRP54 proteins. In most bacteria, the SRP consists of a 4.5S RNA and the Ffh protein (a homologue of the eukaryotic SRP54 protein). The record is from RNAcentral. Lineage: Bacteria; Bacillati; Actinomycetota; Actinomycetes; Propionibacteriales; Propionibacteriaceae.
UUUGGUCGUCCGCGCGGCGGUACCCUACCCAACCCUCCCAGGGCCGGAAGGCAGCAAGAGUAAGUAGGCUCUUCCGGGUGCGCGGGCGAUCAUUUUU